RNAcentral lists this ribosomal RNA (433 nucleotides) under uncultured bacterium. RNAcentral describes it as "partial 16S ribosomal RNA". It matches the Rfam family "Bacterial small subunit ribosomal RNA", at positions 29 to 507 of the family's 1533-position model. The record is from RNAcentral.
AACGAACGCUGGCGGCAUGCCUAACACAUGCAAGUCGAACGAGACCUUCGGGUCUAGUGGCGCACGGGUGCGUAACGCGUGGGAACCUGCCCUUAGGUUCGGAAUAACUCCCCGAAAGGGGUGCUAAUACAGGAUAAUGUCUUCGGACCAAAGAUUUAUCGCCUUUGGAUGGGCCCGCGUUGGAUUAGCUAGUUGGUAGGGUAAAAGCCUACCAAGGCGACGAUCCAUAGCUGGUCUGAGAGGAUGAUCAGCCACACUGGGACUGAGACACGGCCCAGACUCCUACGGGAGGCAGCAGUGGGGAAUAUUGGACAAUGGGCGAGAGCCUGAUCCAGCAAUGCCGCGUGAGUGAUGAAGGCCUUAGGGUUGUAAAGCUCUUUUACCCGGGAUGAUAAUGACAGUACCGGGAGAAUAAGCUCCGGCUAACUCCGUG